AGUGAACGCUGGCGGCAGGCCUAAUACAUGCAAGUCGAACGGCAGCACAGCAGAGCUUGCUCUGUGGGUGGCGAGUGGCGGACGGGUGAGGAAUACAUGGGAAUCUGCCCAGUCGUGGGGGAUAACGUAGGGAAACUUACGCUAAUACCGCAUAUUCUGUGAGCAGGAAAGCAGGGGAUCGCAAGACCUUGCGCUGAUUGAGCGGCCGAUAUCAGAUUAGCUAGUUGGUGGGGUAAAGGCCUACCAAGGCGACGAUCUGUAGCGGGUCUGAGAGGAUGAUCCGCCACACUGGAACUGAGACACGGCCCAGACUCCUACGGGAGGCAGCAGUGGGGAAUUUUGGACAAUGGGCGCAAGCCUGAUCCAGCCAUGCCGCGUGCAGGAUGAAGGCCUUCGGGUUGUAACUGCUUUGUACGGAACGAAAGACUCUUUCUAAUAAAGAGGUCCAUGACGGUACCGUAAGAAUAAGCACCGGA
Molecule: ribosomal RNA, 476 nt
Filed under: uncultured bacterium
Lineage: Bacteria
Description: bacterial SSU rRNA
Rfam family: Bacterial small subunit ribosomal RNA
Source: RNAcentral